This is a ribosomal RNA of Panthera tigris altaica (Amur tiger), 110 nucleotides long. The record is from Ensembl. NCBI's taxonomy places the organism in Eukaryota, Metazoa, Chordata, Mammalia, Carnivora, Felidae.
GUCUACAGCCAUACCACCCUGAACGCGCCCGAUCUCGUCCGAUCUCGGAAGCUAAGCAGGGUCGGGCCUGGUUAGUAUUUGGAUGGAAGAAGUACUGAUUUUAAAAGGCA